GGGCAAGUAGAUCAGCGGAAGAUCGCCGCCUUCGCAAGGCGGAAGCCGGGGGUUCGAAUCCCCCCUUGUCCA
RNAcentral lists this transfer RNA (72 nucleotides) under Methanomassiliicoccales archaeon. RNAcentral's name for it is "tRNA-Ala". It matches the Rfam family "tRNA". From Rfam's summary of the family: Transfer RNA (tRNA) molecules are approximately 80 nucleotides in length. Their secondary structure includes four short double-helical elements and three loops (D, anti-codon, and T loops). The record is from RNAcentral. Lineage: Archaea; Methanobacteriati; Thermoplasmatota; Thermoplasmata; Methanomassiliicoccales.